This 279-nucleotide ribosomal RNA is filed under the name uncultured bacterium. Its description in RNAcentral is "partial 16S ribosomal RNA". It matches the Rfam family "Bacterial small subunit ribosomal RNA", at positions 506 to 784 of the family's 1533-position model. The record is from RNAcentral.
UGCCAGCAUCCGCUGUACUACUAGUUGUGCAAUCGUUAAUCGGAAUUACUGGGCGUAAAGCGUACGCAGGCGGUUUGUUAAGCAAGAUGUGAAAGCCCACGGCUCAACCGUGGAAUUGCAUUUGAUACUGCAUCGCUAGAGUAUAGGAGAGGGAAGUGGAAUUUCUGGUGUAGGAGUGAAAUCCGUAGAGAUCAGAAGGAACACCGGUGGCGAAGGCGACUUCCUGGACUAUUACUGACACUGAGGAGCGAAAGCGUGGGGAGCAAACAGGAUUAGAUA